This 1079-nucleotide long non-coding RNA is filed under the name Oryzias javanicus (javanese ricefish). Its description in RNAcentral is "lncRNA (ENSOJAG00000012020.1)". Lineage: Eukaryota; Metazoa; Chordata; Actinopteri; Beloniformes; Adrianichthyidae. The record is from RNAcentral.
CUGAAGCUACGUGAUGUAGCUGCGCAGCAAAGCUAGCUAGCUAGGAAACCCCGCAUUAGCAGCAUUCAAUAACUGUAGUGGAGUAGCUCAGAAACGAAGAUAUUUAUAUUUUCUAACACAGAACAAUAAAAAAUACAGAAUAUAUAAAAGAUUAGAACUGUUUUUACCUGAAAAGGGGAAUAGUAAAUGAAUCACACGAGACAGAUGCUGCUUGAGCCAAGUCCAAUGUAAUAAUGAACCAACGGAAGCAGCACGUCUCCCCUUCGUGAGCUCAGACAAAAACAAUCGAAAAACGAUCAACAAAUAAAACUCUCAGAACUAUAUAGUUGAAGGAAAGUUGAAUGAAAACAAUAUAAAAUUAAGACGAUAACUCAAAAUGACAAGUAAAUAUUACCAUUAGAUCUGAUAUAAUUUUAAUAAAGCUGUUUUUUACAUCAAGACCAGAUUAGUCGAUUGCCGAUGAAUCAAUGACUGUCAUUGUCUAUUCAUAGAAAAAUGAAUUAAAUAAUUUUCUCUUUUCCCAUUUAUUACAAUUAUAAAUAAACUAAUUAUUAUUUUCCAAAACAAUUUGAAACAUAUUUCUUUUUGUCAAAAAUUUUCUGUUUCCCUUAAAUUCUAUAACAAGACUAUUACAGAAGCAGCUGCAAUUUGCCUCCGUUUUUCUGCUGAAACAGUCUCCCCCACACUAGGUCAUGCUAGGCUUACCUAAGGCGAUGGCGCAGGAAUUUGGACACAUCGCCAGCAGGCCUGUGACCUUUAGCUCCGUCAAAAAAAAAAAAAAAUCAAAAACAUUUGUCAAAUCUUUACAGCCUGAAGGAUGACAAUCAAGAAUGUAAAGGUGACAUUUUGCAUGAAUCAGUCACCAAAGCUUUAAAAAAAAAGAGUCACCAAAGAUUUUAAGUUAAUCAGAAUCAUAUUUACUCACUAUCUCUAGAAGUAUAAACAAAAAAGCUGUAUGUUCAAAAGUGAUCUUUGAAUAUUUUUAAUUUACUGUAAUAUAUCAUUUGUAAUGUAUUCUUUGUAAUAUUUGUUUUGUAAUGUAUAUUCUGUCCCCCCACAUUGUAAUUGUUCUACUUGUC